CAAUAGCGUAUAUUAAAGUUGUUGCGGUUAAAAAGCUCGUAGUUGGAUUUCAGUCUAGGAAGGUUAACUCGCCGAAAGGUUGUACGUUGAUUUUCCUCAGACUUCGUCAGAAGCUCGUGCUGCACUUAACUGUGUGGUACGAUGUUCUGACCUUUUACCUUGAGGAAAGUAGAGUGUUUCAGGCAGGCUACCCAGCUUGAAUACAUUAGCAUGGAAUAAUGAAAUGGAUCUCGGUUCGAUUUCGUUGGUUCUAGAGCUGAGGUGAUGAUCAAUAGGAACAGGCGAAGGUAUUCGUACUUGAGAGUGAGGAGUGAAAUCCGAUGAUCUCUUAAAGACGAUCCGAGGCGAAAGCAUUUGUCAAGGAUGUUUUCAUUGA
RNAcentral lists this ribosomal RNA (376 nucleotides) under uncultured eukaryote. RNAcentral describes it as "partial 18S ribosomal RNA". It matches the Rfam family "Eukaryotic small subunit ribosomal RNA", at positions 592 to 976 of the family's 1831-position model. The record is from RNAcentral.